RNAcentral lists this transfer RNA (72 nucleotides) under Marmota monax (woodchuck). RNAcentral's name for it is "tRNA.Ala". The stretch from base 1 to 63 matches the Rfam family "tRNA". From Rfam's summary of the family: Transfer RNA (tRNA) molecules are approximately 80 nucleotides in length. Their secondary structure includes four short double-helical elements and three loops (D, anti-codon, and T loops). The record is from RNAcentral. Lineage: Eukaryota; Metazoa; Chordata; Mammalia; Rodentia; Sciuridae.
GGGAUUGUGGCUCAGUGGUAGAGCGCUCACCUCGCACGUGUGAACCACCUGGGCUCAAUCCUCAGCAUCACA